RNAcentral lists this ribosomal RNA (43 nucleotides) under Zasmidium musigenum. Its description in RNAcentral is "partial 18S ribosomal RNA". The record is from RNAcentral. Lineage: Eukaryota; Fungi; Ascomycota; Dothideomycetes; Mycosphaerellales; Mycosphaerellaceae.
UCCGUAGGUGAACCUGCGGAGGGAUCAUUACGAGAGUGUCACC